This 303-nucleotide ribosomal RNA is filed under the name Triticum aestivum (bread wheat). Its description in RNAcentral is "partial small subunit ribosomal RNA". Lineage: Eukaryota; Viridiplantae; Streptophyta; Magnoliopsida; Poales; Poaceae. The record is from RNAcentral.
AUGGCCGACGACGGGGAGCAGGAGCAGCUGCUGGUCGUGACGGCGACGGCGGAGCCGGACGAGUGUAGCAGGUGGGCGAUGAUCUGCCUUCUGGCCUGCGGGACCGUCACGCUUCUCGGCUUAGCCUUCUACCUGACGGAGGACUUCGAGAGCUGUCCUGCGCCUUCCAUCGUCCUCCUGCUCUCGCUUCUGUUCUCCCUCGGAGGAUUCUAUUUUUGCGCUCUCUGCAUUGUUUUUGUUUUUGAACAGUUCAUCGGCGGCAAUCCAGCUGGAGUAAUGAACAUAGAUAGAUUGUUUAAUUGA